RNAcentral lists this long non-coding RNA (290 nucleotides) under Elaeis guineensis (African oil palm). RNAcentral describes it as "long non-coding RNA (EGUI_LNC068995)". Lineage: Eukaryota; Viridiplantae; Streptophyta; Magnoliopsida; Arecales; Arecaceae. The record is from RNAcentral.
AUCGCUGAGCUUUAGAUCAAAGUUUAUUUGGGUCUAAUCAAAGAUAUGGACUCGACAAACUACAACUAUUGUAUUGACUCGAGAGAAAUUUUGAUUUAAUCUAAUUUUUUUUAAUUUAUUUAAUCUUUGAUUCUAACCAUAGGUCUAAUCCAAUUAGGAGGACCUGAUCAAGCUAACCUAUAAACCCAUCACCCAUAUUUUAUGUGAAUGUCAUUAGAUCUUUAAUUCAUAAUUUUAGAUCUAAUUUAUUCAACUUAAUUAUUAAUUAAGUUUAAAGCUGUGGAUAGGAG